Molecule: long non-coding RNA, 1241 nt
Organism: Rhineura floridana
Lineage: Eukaryota; Metazoa; Chordata; Lepidosauria; Squamata; Rhineuridae
Exons: 3
Source: RefSeq, a predicted model, not a curated record
UGGGCAGGGAUGUGUUUUACCAGUUCAAACUGAUUCACCAUCUGUAUCCUGUCUUAAGGAAGACUGUCUUGGAGUCUGUGUUGAUAGCUUGAUGCUCACGUUAUUGCAAUGUAUUCUACACUGGGCAAGUAAGCAGCUUCAGCUGGUCCAGAAUGCAGCUGAGAAUCUGCUCCAGGUGCCGUGGACAUCAAGUAGCUAGGUCAGUGGCUAUGAGGAGCAGAUCUUUCUCAGCUCUGGCACCAGUUGUUUGAAACAAUCUUCCUUGGGACAUCCAACACACUCUUGUAUCCUGAUGUCAUCAAAACAUAUUUAUUUGGGACAACUUGAGAAUCCAUCAAACAACAAUUGCAGAUUUCCCAUGAUUGUGCAGAACAUAUUUGACAGUUGCUGCAGAUAUUAAGGAAUUAAGAAGCAGCUGUAGAGGCUACAAUCUUGAGCAGAGGACCAAAGGAAAGAAAACAAGGGGCUGCUGAAUUCUGCUACGUAUGGCCAUUUCGACACCCAGAAUCCCUGGAAAUACAGUGUUUUUACCUGUGAGGGGGAUGAGCACACUUUUUUUAAAAAAUGAAUGGAAGUGAAAGUAGCCUCUGUCACUCCUGUAGCCCCAACCUCUGCGCAGUAGUGUAGUUCCUAAAACUAGGGGCAGCUUCAAGGAUCGACAUGGUGCCGCAUUUGUUGAGGGCCCAUGACAAGACCUCCCUGGACUCACAGAGGGAGAGGGGCCCAUGGAGAAUGUCCUGCCCAAGAGCCUGCCACAACCUGGAGCCAACACUGUGUAGAGCUGCUCCUGCUCCCUUGGGGAAGGGAUACACAUGAAUGAGGUAUAUCACAAUCCUGUGUACAUUUGCUCAGACAUAAGUCCCAUUGAAUCCAAUGGAGCUGAAGGUAUUUAGGGUUGCAGUUUGAGGCUGCAAUCCAAUACAUAGCUGGGAGUAAACCUCACUGAAUUCAGUGGGGCUUUCAUGUGAGUAGGCACAUAUCUGUGCUCUGAGUGUCACAGAUAGUUUGAGUCUCUGAUGACCAAUGCAAGUUAUAAAAACACUCAACUUCUAAUUGCACAUUCAGAUGAUCAACUAUUCCAGACAAGAAAUAUGGGUACUGGUUUAUACUGAGCCUUUCAAAAACAUCUAGUUUAUAUGAUAGCAGUGUGUUUUGUUAGAUGUGACAUCCAAAUGCUCAUAAAACAACACAAGGUCUAUAUAACAAAAUGACAUAAAAUCAAAUUCUUUGCUGAAAACAAA